GAGAGAGAGAGAGAGAGAGUUUGUGUCUGUAUCUGUGUCUGUGUGCACCGUUUUGAUUGUGAUAGAGGAUGCCUCCGACGAAAAUUCAGCCGAUCGAUUCUCUGUUAGACAGAGAAUCGAUCCAAAGCGACACCACUAAGCCUGUGCUGAAAUCGCGAAUCAAAAGGUUUUUUGACCGGCCGUUCCCCAGCGUCUUACGGAUUUCGUCGGGGACAGAGAAGCCGAAUGCUGCCGGCGCCAGUAAUGAAUUGGCAAAUGGAAAAGAUGGAGCAGUUCCUGAAUUCGAGCCUAGCUCUCUUUGUUUGGCUAAGAUGGUUCAGAAUUUCAUUGAGGAGAACAAUGAAAAGCCUUCACCUGCUAAAUGUGGCCGGAAUCGUUGCAAUUGCUUCAACGGAACCAACAAUGAUAGCUCCGAUGACGAGUUUGAUUUUGCUGAUUCAGCACACUCCUCCUUCAACGAUUCUUCUGAUGCUCUCAAGAGCUUAAUUCCGUGUGCAACUGUUGUCGAGAGAAAUCUAUUAGCUGAUAUCUCACAAAUCGUUGAGAAAAACAAAGCUUGCAAGAGUAAGAAUGAUUUGAGAAAAAUCGUCACCGAUGAACUCUUGAAACUUGGCUACAAUGCAUCCAUUUGCAAAUCCAAAUGGGAAAAGGCUCCUUCUGUUCCUGCAGGUGAAUAUGAGUACAUUGAUGUGAUUGAGAAAGGAGAAAGAGUGUUAAUUGAUGUAGAUUUCCGAUCGGAGUUUGAAGUUGCCCGAUCAACUAGCAGUUACAAGGCGGUUCUUCAAUUGCUACCUUUCAUCUUCGUCGGAAAUUCCGACCGCCUUCUGCAAAUCGUGUCCAUUGCCUCAGAAGCCGCUCGACAGAGUUUGAAGAAGAAAGGCAUG
RNAcentral lists this unclassified non-coding RNA (884 nucleotides) under Hevea brasiliensis (rubber tree). The record is from RNAcentral. Lineage: Eukaryota; Viridiplantae; Streptophyta; Magnoliopsida; Malpighiales; Euphorbiaceae.